Molecule: ribosomal RNA, 490 nt
Filed under: uncultured bacterium
Lineage: Bacteria
Description: partial 16S ribosomal RNA
Rfam family: Bacterial small subunit ribosomal RNA
Source: RNAcentral
AGUGAACGCUGGCGGUAGGCCUAACACAUGCCAGUCGAACGGCAGCACAGGAGAGCUUGCUCUCUGGGUGGCGAGUGGCGGACGGGUGAGGAAUACAUCGGAAUCUACCUUUUCGUGGGGGAUAACGUAGGGAAACUUACGCUAAUACCGCAUACGACCUACGGGUGAAAGUGGGGGACCGCAAGGCCUCACGCGAUUAGAUGAGCCGAUGUCCGAUUAGCUAGUUGGCGGGGUAAUGGCCCACCAAGGCGACGAUCGGUAGCUGGUCUGAGAGGAUGAUCACGCCCCACUGAAACUGGGAAACGGCCCAGACCCCAAGGGAAGGCGCAGGGGGGAAAUUUUGACAAAGGGGCGAAGCCCUAUCCAGGCCAUACGGCGUGGGUGAAGAAGCCCUUCGGUUUGUAAGCCCUUUUGUUGGGAAAGAAAUCCUGUCGAUUAAUACUCGGUGGGGAUGACGGUACCCAAAGAAUAAGCACCGGCUAACUUCGUG